GUGAAUGUGUGACCCCCGAAUAUU
This 24-nucleotide non-coding RNA is filed under the name Cricetulus griseus (Chinese hamster). Lineage: Eukaryota; Metazoa; Chordata; Mammalia; Rodentia; Cricetidae. The record is from RNAcentral.